This 229-nucleotide ribosomal RNA is filed under the name uncultured bacterium. Its description in RNAcentral is "partial 16S ribosomal RNA". It matches the Rfam family "Bacterial small subunit ribosomal RNA", at positions 524 to 751 of the family's 1533-position model. The record is from RNAcentral.
GACAGAGGGUGCAAACGUUGCUCGGAAUCACUGGGCGUAAAGGGCGUGUAGGCGGGACAGUAAGUCGGGCGUGAAAUCCCUGGGCUCAACCCAGGAACUGCACUCGAAACUACUAUUCUUGAGUGUCGGAGAGGAAAGCGGAAUUCCUGGUGUAGAGGUGAAAUUCGUAGAUAUCAGGAGGAACACCAGUGGCGAAGGGCGGCUUUCUGGACGAUAACUGACGCUGAGA